AGUCGAGCGGAACGAGUUAUCUGAACCUUCGGGGAACGAUAACGCGUCAGCGGCGGACGGGUGAGUAAUGCCUAGGAAAUUGCCCUGAUGUGGGGGAUAACCAUUGGAAACGAUGGCUAAUACCGCAUGAUGCCUACGGGCCAAAGAGGGGGACCUUCGGGCCUCUCGCGUCAGGAUAUGCCUAGGUGGGAUUAGCUAGUUGGUGAGGUAAGGGCUCACCAAGGCGACGAUCCCUAGCUGGUCUGAGAGGAUGAUCAGCCACACUGGAACUGAGACACGGUCCAGACUCCUACGGGAGGCAGCAGUGGGGAAUAUUGCACAAUGGGCGCAAGCCUGAUGCAGCCAUGCCGCGUGUAUGAAGAAGGCUUCGGGUUGUAAAGUACUUUCAGUCGUGAGGAAGCGGCGUCGUUAUAGCGGCGUUGUUUGACGUUAGCGACAGAAGAAGCACCGGCU
Molecule: ribosomal RNA, 453 nt
Filed under: uncultured Vibrio sp.
Lineage: Bacteria; Pseudomonadati; Pseudomonadota; Gammaproteobacteria; Vibrionales; Vibrionaceae
Description: bacterial SSU rRNA
Rfam family: Bacterial small subunit ribosomal RNA
Source: RNAcentral